Molecule: ribosomal RNA, 490 nt
Filed under: uncultured Lachnospiraceae bacterium
Lineage: Bacteria; Bacillati; Bacillota; Clostridia; Lachnospirales; Lachnospiraceae
Description: bacterial SSU rRNA
Rfam family: Bacterial small subunit ribosomal RNA
Source: RNAcentral
AGGUAGUUUGACUCUGGCUACGAGGAUGAACGCUGGCGGCGUGCCUAACACAUGCAAGUCGAACGGGAACAGAAUGAACCUAGUGAUUUUUGUUUUAGUGGCGGACGGGUGAGUAACGCGUGGGUAACCUGCCGUAUACAGGGGGAUAACACUUAGAAAUAGGUGCUAAUACCGCAUAAGCGCACAGCUUCGCAUGGAGCAGUGUGAAAAGCGUAAACGGUAUACGAUGGACCCGCGUCUGAUUAGCUAGUUGCGGGGUAGAGGCCCACCAAGGCGACGAUCAGUAGCCGGCCUGAGAGGGUGACCGGCCACAUUGGGACUGAGACACGGCCCAAACUCCUACGGGAGGCUGCAGUGGGGAAUAUUGCACAAUGGGGGGAACCCUGAUGCAGCGACGCCGCGUGAGUGAAGAAGUAUUUCGGUAUGUAAAGCUCUAUCAGCAGGGAAGAAAAUGACGGUACCUGACUAAGAAGCCCCGGCUAACUACGUG